Molecule: long non-coding RNA, 261 nt
Filed under: Rattus norvegicus (Norway rat)
Lineage: Eukaryota; Metazoa; Chordata; Mammalia; Rodentia; Muridae
Description: long non-coding RNA NONRATT033375
Source: RNAcentral
CUUGGGAGAUACUAAAACUAACAAAAAAAGAUGGAAAAACGAUCAAAUUGGGCCAAGCGAAAGGUUUCAUGGAGUAUCCCCAAUUGAUGAGUGCAGAAUGAAGCUAAGAAACAUGCUCCCUGAGAGCUAAGUCUUCCUCCAAGCACGCCAGGGAGGAGCAAAGCCAUAGUGCCAAAGCCCAGCAUCAUGGCCCUAAAAUGAGAGAUGCAUACAGUCCUUGAUACUUUAGAAAAUUAAAUAAAGGUUCCCAUGGGGACAGAU